This 253-nucleotide ribosomal RNA is filed under the name uncultured bacterium. Its description in RNAcentral is "partial 16S ribosomal RNA". It matches the Rfam family "Bacterial small subunit ribosomal RNA", at positions 524 to 776 of the family's 1533-position model. The record is from RNAcentral.
UACGAAGGGGGCUAGCGUUGUUCGGAUUUACUGGGCGUAAAGGGCGCGUAGGCGGAUUUUUAAGUCGGGGGUGAAAUCCCGGAGCUCAACUCCGGAACUGCCUUCGAUACUGAAAGUCUGGAGCACGGUAGAGGUGAGUGGAAUUCCGAGUGUAGAGGUGAAAUUCGUAGAUAUUCGGAGGAACACCAGUGGCGAAGGCGGCCCACUGGACCGUUGCUGACGAUGAGGCGCGAAAGAGUGGGGAGCAAACAGG